Molecule: long non-coding RNA, 1217 nt
Organism: Homo sapiens (human)
Lineage: Eukaryota; Metazoa; Chordata; Mammalia; Primates; Hominidae
Exons: 2
Source: RefSeq, a predicted model, not a curated record
UUGUUGAACUCCCAGCUUCAAGCAAGCCUCCCGCCUCAGCCUCCCAAAGUGCUGGGAUUACAGGCAUGUGGCACCACACCCUGCCCCUAAACUUUGAAAUUUGAGUACUGUUUUCCUGAUUUUUACUUUUGCUGACAGAAGCAACCAGCAAGAUGACAAGAAAUUUUGUGGUCUGAGAAAAUUGUAUAAAUGGUAUAAAAUGGAUAAUGUAAGUAGUUGGGAAGCAGAAUUCCUGUAUAAGCAUAUAGUUUUUCUUUUUUUAAAGUAAGCAGUUAAUUGGGCAGAGAUUGCAAUUUCAUGUCACAUCAUCAUUACCAUCAUUUUUAUAUUUGUUAGAGAGGAAAUCUGGGACAGGAUCUCCCAGGAUGCCAGGUAUGCCUACUAUCUGUCAAAAAUUUAAAACAAACAACAAAAAAGCCUCUAAGUAACAAAAGAUAAGGAUACAUCUAUGGCUCUUAUGUGGAAAGCAAGGUUUCAUUCAGCACUAUUAGCCUUUAACACGUGGAAUUAACCGAGAAGCAGGAGACCUGUGCUGCUGGUGCCUCACGCCUGUAGUCCCAGCACUGUGGGAGGCCGAGGGAGGAGGCUCGCUUGAGCCUGGGAGUGCAAGACCAACCUGGGCAUCAUGGUGAGACCUGUCUCUACAAAAAAAUAAAAAUAAAAAUAAAUUAGCUGGGCACAGGGGUUUGUGCCUGUAGUCCCAGCUACUUGGGAGGCUGAGGUGGGAGGAUCACUUGAGCCCAGGAGGUCCAGGCUACAGUAAGCUGUGAUUGUGCCACUGCACUCCACCCUGCGUGACAGAGCGAGACCCUGUCUCACCAAAAAAAAAUAAAGAAAGAAAGAAAAGAAAUGGUGUCAAACAGAAGUCAGAAGCAAAGCACCAAAGAAUAAGUUCUGACUUUGAGCAGGCCAGUGCUUUUCUUCUUCAAGGUGUAAGUGAAGAUGCAGAUUACAUGGUUUGCCCAUUUCUCAGUAUUGUGACCAAAUCAUUCUUUUGGAAUAUGACUUGGAAAAAUUGCUCUAUUAGUCACAUCUUCAAAUAUUUAUAAUUUCUCACGUAUGCUUAGAAAUAAUUAGGGUUGAAAUAAAGCAUUCGCACAUCUACCCACUUUCUUCGGGACUGUAAUGUUAAUGCUUGUGGCCACACACAAUUUGAGGCUUAGCAGGCAUCCUUUAAUCCUGAAGUGUUAAUAAAGUGGUGGUUUCUGUUGCUGUUA